UACGGAGGGUGCAAGCGUUGUUCGGAAUCAUUGGGCGUAAAGCGCGUGUAGGUGGCUUGGCAAGUCGGUUGUGAAAUCCCGGGGCCCAACCCCGGAACUGCAUUCGAAACUGCCUCGCUAGAGUCCCGGAGAGGAAGGCGGAAUUCCCGGUGUAGAGGUGAAAUUCGUAGAUAUCGGGAGGAACACCAGCGGCGAAGGCGGCCUUCUGGACGGUGACUGACACUGAGACGCGAAAGCGUGGGGAGCAAACAGG
This 253-nucleotide ribosomal RNA is filed under the name uncultured bacterium. RNAcentral describes it as "partial 16S ribosomal RNA". It matches the Rfam family "Bacterial small subunit ribosomal RNA", at positions 524 to 776 of the family's 1533-position model. The record is from RNAcentral.